Mirounga angustirostris (Northern elephant seal) is the source of this 2665-nucleotide long non-coding RNA. RefSeq lists it as uncharacterized. The record is from RefSeq and is a predicted model, not a curated record. Lineage: Eukaryota; Metazoa; Chordata; Mammalia; Carnivora; Phocidae. The transcript has 9 exons.
AGUAGGUGGACGAACAGAGGUGCUCCCAUUCCACUGUAUAGUGCUGGGUCCUGGGUCCAACUGGCCCUCCUCCAAGUGUGGUCUAUGACCUGGCAGCAUGGGCCUCUCCUGGGAGCUGAGCUUGUGGGAAAGGCAGGAUCUGAGGCCCCUACUUCGACCUGCUGAAUCAGAAUCUACAUCUGAACAAGGUCCCUAGCUGUAACAGCGCCCCCCUCUACUGUGAGCUACCAUGGACUACCGUGAGCACUGCGGGUUCCUCACCGCACUCAGGACCAUCUGUUCAUACUGACCGUCUGGAACAAAAAGAAAACCAGCGUGUCCACUGGUGAGACUAACGGUUCCGUGAGCCGCGGCCAGGAAAAGGCAGCAAACAAAGUGAACAGUCAGCCAAGGAGCAUUUGCUGGAGAUUUACGUGGAAACCUGCUCACAGAUGCAGAGCUGCUGGAUUUAUAACAAGGAUCUUCCAACGGAGGCUCCAGAACCAAGAAAACACAGGUCUCCUCUUGUGAAGCCAGGAUUAGAACUUACUACUGUUAGGCACCCAACCCCUCUUUGCCCAAGCUGAUCCCAGAGUCCUGAUUCCAGGGACUCUGAAGAUCAUGAAGGUCUCUUAUUAAUCUCCCUCUGCCCAUGAUUUCCAUAUUCUUGGUGCAGACAGUGUGUAUAGUGUAUUACAUUCUGUGGAAAACAAAGAAGGUGAAAGAGGAAAAUGCCUUUGGGUUUACACAUGAGCCAGAGAGAAAGGGGGACCAGCGCAUCUUGCAUCUUACGGUAUUCAAGAGUAUGCUAAUGACGUUUCACCUUAUGACCUGUGAAUAUAUGGGAAUGAAAAUUGCUGGGAUCGCCUCUGCGAUGCAUGGCCUCUGAUGGGGGCAUUCCAGAUUAACUGUGAUAUUGUGGGGACUGCAAGUGACGUGAAGAGACAAAGGAAGGACUGUCAUAGGAGUGCAGGAAUUCUGAUAUAAGGCCAUCCAGUUCAGCCUGCCCUGAGAAUAAAGAAGCUUCCUCGUUUCUCUGAAUCCGUGAAUUCUGCAGAGAUGGCGCCAUGCAAGGUUCUGGGAGACUCUGUCACAGUUGUCCCUUUGCUGGAAUGGUCUGCAAAGACUGGAGGGGGGGGUCCCCUUUCAGUAGUUUUGAGGGAUGCGGAGCGACAUGCCUGCCCUGCUGGGUUCUUUCUACUGCCAGUGUAGCCAUGGGACCUCAGACAAGUCAACCUCACCGAGCCUGACUUCCCUCUCACCUUGAGGAUACACCUAGUCCCAACCUCACAGGGUUCUGUGAGGGCCACUGCAAGACAAUCCACAUAAAGCGCCAGCAAAGUGCUUCACUUGGUCAGUGCUUAGAAACGUUUGCCGUGCUAAUCUCUCAGAAGGCUUAACUGGAUCAUCAUGGUGGAUGAGACUGAUACAGCAUAUGGGCCUCUAUGUUUUCUAGACCUGAAGGCAGGCGGGCUAAUACAGAGCGGAGACUAGAACAGUGGUUUAUGACUUGUUGCAACACUCAGACAACCCUCUAUUUCUUCUAGUAGGUUUUUCUUGUACUAAGUGACAGAGUCCUUGUUUACUCCAUAGUGACACAUGGGGCUUGAAGUGCGAAGACAGGGAUCUGUCAGGCUUACAUAGGGGAAAUGAGAGUAAAAAAUCCUUGUUUGUGUGGGGAGGGAUGUGGAAGACAAAACGGAGAGAGAGAGAAUGACAGAAGUUUACCUGUGUAGGACAUUAUUUUAGAACCAGACUAGGGUAGAAUGUUCUUUAAGAGAAAUAUUAGAUGCUAAGGCAAAACAUAUAGUUUGUGGUCUUACCUGGAAGCCUUUGAUACCAGCCUAGGCAUUUAGAAUUGAUCUUGUAGGUAGUGGAGGACCAUUGAAGGUUCUUAGACUAGUGACAGGUCUCCAGUAUGGGAGACAAUACUGAAUUAGCAAAUUAGUUAGGAAACAGGAUAGUUAUUAUCUACAACUAAAGCAUUAUUAUGUUCAACUCAAGAAUAAUCCCCUGGCACAGAGCCUCUUGUUCUCAACAUAUGCCUGCUACAUUUUUUUUGAAUAUAAAAUUGCUGUAGCCCAGAUGUCACGGGGUCUCAUCAGGCCUCUCCAGCUUUUUAAUAUAAAAUGACUUUGCAUUUUAGUUAAACCUGCAGUAAGUGACUCUAAGUCUUUGUCUUGCACAUAUCCAGCCCAAGGAAUGAGAUGAGGUUGGACAUGGUGGCAUCCCUCCACCCUCCUUGCUCCUCCUGCCCCCUGCCCUUAAAUCUGAAACCAGGUCCUGGGUCCUGCUGAUUUUUCUGGUUCUCCUCUGACACUGCCUACCACCAAGCCCCAUUUCUCCAAGCUUCCCAAAGUUCCAUGGCAAGUAUGGUGCAAAGCACUGAUGGAGAAUGGAUAAAGCUGGACAAAAUGCCAUGAAGCCAGUACCACGCAAUUCCAUCAGUGGAGGGAGCCACCACUUAUCACAGCCUUCUGCCUUUACAAACUAUCCAUGAGGUCCCCUCCAUGGUGGGCACAGCCUCGUCAUGGGAACUGAAGGCUAAGAGGACAGGAUGGGGGAAAUAAAAUCCAGUUUGUCUUGAAUUUUUGACAUUUUGUUCAUGGCAUCCUAAUUGCCUUUCAUACUUCCUUUGUCUUUUAAGCUUUUUUCCAUCAUUAAAAAAAUGAAUUGUGUCAGUUGC